RNAcentral lists this long non-coding RNA (2350 nucleotides) under Lupinus angustifolius (narrow-leaved blue lupine). RNAcentral's name for it is "long non-coding RNA (LANG_LNC003331)". The record is from RNAcentral. Lineage: Eukaryota; Viridiplantae; Streptophyta; Magnoliopsida; Fabales; Fabaceae.
UUUUUCAAGGAAAGGCAAGGAUGUUGAGAAAGAAGCAAAGAAAAGUACCAAAUUUUUCAACAAGGAUGCAAAGCAUAUGUUCAAGGAUAUCACGCUCAAAAGUGCCCCGGUUCUUGAAAAAAAUGUUCAACUUGCAAGAAGAGGAAUAUGAUGGGUUCAUGUUCAAGGUGACCAAGUUCGGAUGGAACAAGCUCACAUCGUCGAACAAGAUGUUCUCAUCUCUUCUCUUCGGCGUGGCGAUUCCACCAUUGUAGAAGCUGCAGUGGUUUUUCUACCCGAAGCUUCUUCGGUUCGUGGCGGUGAAGGAAGGCGGCAGGAACCACCUAUCGCAACGGUGGUCCAAUGAAAAUGUUACACUAAUUUCUCCCUUUUAUUUUCUUCAAUCUUCUAAUUUUUUGUGAAGCAAGUCAAGUUGGGUAGUUUUGCUUACAUUUUAAAGUGUUGAAACCUUUGGUAUUCUACUUCCAUUUCCUCUUCUCCUCACACAAAGGUAACCAACUAACUUCUGAAACCCUAAAUCAAAACAUGAAAAAUGCUCUGAUCCAGAUCAAUGAUUCUAGUUUUACUUCAAAUUCUUUUGUUCAUUUGGUAUUCAAUCUCAUGUGUGUUCUUAGUACCUUUUCAAUAUGUGGUUUUCUAUUAUCUCAAUGCUUAGUUGUUGACCAUAACUUGUUUGAUUAAAUGUUAGUGUUUUCGUUUACUAUCUUAGCUUACUUUGUUCCUCGUAAAUUGUUUCAAUUAAUUGUAAACUCUAUUCUUAUUCUAGCAUGAGAUUAUCUCUAAUUAUAAAGUAAGCUAACGGUGAACUUAAUGGUGACGCAAAAGCAUCCUAUGUUGGAAUGCCAUGGAUUUGUGCAUGCAUCAUUUGUGGUUUUGCAGACCGAAGUGAAGGUAUAUAUCUAACUUUUAAGUGUUUUUUAUAUCAAUAUAUCAUAUGAUUAUUUUCACAUUGUUACAAGUUCAACUUGCAUUGAGGGAAUUGGAAAAUUUGAAAUAAGCUUGGAAGGAUACAUUUUCACAUACUCAUGGUGAGUGAUUCUUAGAACAUUUUUUAGUCAGGAUUCUCAAUAUUUUAGUUAAUUGAUCCUAAGAAUAUAAAAAUAUGUCCAUUUCUACAUUUUGAUUGCCUUUUGUUUAUAUUUCUAGUUUCAAUUGAACUCAAGUAAUACAUUCCAGUGAAAGUUUUUCAUUGCAUUCCUAAGAUACUUACUAGCCACAAUAGCGCAAUGUUAGAUAGAUUAAUAGCUUCUAUGUAAUUUUGUUUAUGUCUUCCAUAUUUUUCAACAUUGAUGUAAUGUAGGUACAAAUUUGAGGUGAUUGAGUUUCUUUGAAUCCUUUUUAAAAGGUGGCAAAGCUAACUAUUUUAAGUCUGUUUUGGUGCUAAAUUUGAUUAUGAAAGUUUAACUUUUGCCAAAAUAGAAAACAAAAUAGAUGGAGAGCAUAGAGCGAAAGCUUCAAAUCCAUAUUCACAGGAGCUCCUCAAAGUAAGCUUGGAAGGUUAGCUUUGUCUCCCUAACAUUUUUUCUGGGUAAUUUCCAUGUAGUGCAAUAACAUUUCUUAUUGUUGUGAAGUAUUGUUAUUUUCACUUGGUUCUUGUGGGAUGGAAACCUAAGAAGUGGACAAUAAAUCAAUGGUUCUUGUUUCUUGGCAUUUAUGUAAAUUCAUUAAUGUUUUUUGUCUUUCACAUUUUGUUUAUUAUGUGUGAAUACUUGUGUUUAAUACCAAAUGAUUUGUCUUUCACAUUUUUCUGUGUUGUUGUUAAUUUGUUGAACACUUGAGCUACAAGACUUGUCAUAGCAGCAAUAAAUCCAACUAUUCCAUAAAUGCAAGACUUGUCAUAGUAGCAAUAAAUCCAACUAUUCCAUAAAUAGUUCAAUUAGCUAAGGUGUAAUUUAAUUUUAUCAAAUAGUUCUAUUUGAUGGGCUAUCUAACAAACUCAUACUUUUCUACUCUUGCUUUAUGAAUUUCCAACUACUUUAUAAGCUUCAAACAACCAUAAGUUUUGUAUGAAAGAGAACUUCACAUUUUAAUAUCUUCUGUACUUUUAGAUAGCAGUAAAUCCUAAUGAAUAAUUUUAUAUUUUCCUUCUUCAUUAAAUAGGGCAUCUUUUAAUUUGUAUAAUUUUAUGGUACCAAAAUAGUUCACUAACUUGUAUUCUUUUUAUUAUUUGUAGGUGAAGGUUAACAAUUUGAUGCAACAAACCAUGAAUCAUUUUUUAUUUUUUUGGAAACACAAUUUGUAUCUAUUGAGAAGGGCAUUCAAAUUGUGUAAUUUUUAGGAUUAUAAGACUUUUUAUGUCUAUGCUAUAUGUAGUUAUGUUAUUUUUAGAUGGAGUUCACUCAAAUUCUUC